This 170-nucleotide small RNA is filed under the name Kitasatospora setae. RNAcentral's name for it is "c-di-AMP sequence". It matches the Rfam family "c-di-AMP riboswitch aptamer (ydaO/yuaA leader)". Rfam says of the family: This family represents a conserved RNA structure found upstream of the ydaO and yuaA genes in Bacillus subtilis and related genes in other bacteria. Lineage: Bacteria; Bacillati; Actinomycetota; Actinomycetes; Kitasatosporales; Streptomycetaceae. The record is from RNAcentral. RNAcentral also lists the same sequence under 1 other name.
UCAUGCACAACGCACCACGGCAGGGGCGGGGGAACCAGGUAAGUCGCCCCGGGCGGUCGCAGGACCGCACGGGGCUUGGGGUGAAGCCGGGCGCACCGCGAGGUGUGCUCGGCCGGGCGACUCCGGCCCGAAUCCGACAGCUCACCUCGCAGGCGUGGGAGAGGAACGCU